AGUCGAACGAUGAACCACUUCGGUGGGGAUUAGUGGCGAACGGGUGAGUAACACGUGGGCAAUCUGCCCUUCACUCUGGGACAAGCCCUGGAAACGGGGUCUAAUACCGGAUAACACUCCCGCACUCAUGUGCGGGGGUUAAAAGCUCCGGCGGUGAAGGAUGAGCCCGCGGCCUAUCAGCUUGUUGGUGAGGUAAUGGCUCACCAAGGCGACGACGGGUAGCCGGCCUGAGAGGGCGACCGGCCACACUGGGACUGAGACACGGCCCAGACUCCUACGGGAGGCAGCAGUGGGGAAUAUUGCACAAUGGGCGAAAGCCUGAUGCAGCGACGCCGCGUGAGGGAUGACGGCCUUCGGGUUGUAAACCUCUUUCAGCAGGGAAGAAGCGAAAGUGACGGUACCUGCAGAAGAAGCGCCGGCUAACUACGUG
This 430-nucleotide ribosomal RNA is filed under the name bacterium S9A-219-16S. RNAcentral's name for it is "bacterial SSU rRNA". It matches the Rfam family "Bacterial small subunit ribosomal RNA", at positions 60 to 507 of the family's 1533-position model. The record is from RNAcentral.